CAGUAGCCACGGUAAAACGAGGGGUGCAAGCGUUAUUCGGAUUGAUUGGGUGUAAAGGGUGUGCAGACGGCUUAUUAAGUCACUUGUUAAAUUCCUCGGCCUAACUGAAGGUCUGCAAGUGAUACUGAUGAGCUAGAGGGUGGAAGAGAGAAGUGGAAUUCUCGGAGUAGCGGUAAAAUGCGUAGAUCUCGAGAGGAACACCAAUGGCGAAGGCAGCUUCUUGGUCCAUUCCUGACGUUCAUACACGAAAGCGUGGGGAGCAAACAGGAUUAGAUACCCCCGUAGUCCCUGUCUCUUAUAA
This 301-nucleotide ribosomal RNA is filed under the name uncultured bacterium. RNAcentral describes it as "partial 16S ribosomal RNA". It matches the Rfam family "Bacterial small subunit ribosomal RNA", at positions 509 to 809 of the family's 1533-position model. The record is from RNAcentral.